This 146-nucleotide unclassified non-coding RNA is filed under the name fungal sp. RNAcentral describes it as "partial internal transcribed spacer region". The stretch from base 1 to 46 matches the Rfam family "Eukaryotic small subunit ribosomal RNA", at positions 1786 to 1831 of the family's 1831-position model. The record is from RNAcentral. Lineage: Eukaryota; Fungi.
AAGUCGUAACAAGGUUUCCGUAGGUGAACCUGCGGAAGGAUCAUUAAAGAGAGAUUUAAAUUUUACACUGUGCAAGAUGUUGCAAUAAAUUUUAAAGAGUGGGAUAAAUAUAUAGACAACUUUUAGCAACGGAUCUCUAGGUUCUC